ACAGGGCUAUAAAAGCAAAAGUUGUGGCCUGUCCAUCAGGAGUUAGCGACAGGGAGGGCUGCUGGCUUGGGUUUAGUGGUGGGGAGGAAGUGGCCAGUUUAGGGCCUCAGGGGACAGAUGGAGGAGAUGACAGAAGGGUUGCGACCCCGCGUGGGGAUGAGGCCUGGUCUUGUGGAAACUGAACUUAGCUUCGCGGGGCUGACAGCUCUGGUCCAGGGUGGUGGCAGUGCUCCCCUUUGGACUUUUCCUCUAGGUUCCGUGCUAACUUCUGUGAUCCCACUCUGCCCCUCCUCCUCUUAACUUUCUCGAGGUUAUCCAUUCGCUUAAAACAUUGCCUCUGGUAACCCGAGUGUUCAUCGUGGUGAUCAGAUGGCACCCGGGAGAAACGGAGCCCCCGGCCAGUGUGAGUCGUAGCAGUGCAGGAGGGGAGACCCUGAAGGAGAGAGCCCGCCUAAAUUGCUGUCUGCAGAUGGAAUUUCCAGAGGCUUAGGAGAUGGAAGUUCUCCAGUGUCCGGUUUCCAGGCCUUGCUCAGGAAGUCCUGUAUUCAGGAGGCCUUUUAAGGUUUUCAGAUGAGCUUAUGUGGGGGCAGUCAUUAAGUCCAAAGCAGGUGCAUCGGGCCAUCCGCAGAUGUGUGCUUCGAUUGUUCGAUCCAGGAGCACCGACCUCCAGGCACGUGAAUGCCAGCAGGCACCCCUCCUUUUCUGGGGUGGAGGUUUUCAGAUGCUGCAUCUUCUAAAUUGAGCCUCCCGUCAUAACUGGUUCUGGGCUACGAACGUUGCUUCGAGAAGAUUCUUGAAGCUGUAGGACAUUCUAACAUGCCACUACGCAGAGGGAUGCCUUGUAGAUGAAUCUUGCAGAUGGAGCCCAGGGACCCGCCUGCCCGCUGCCUGCCUGCCUCCCUGUGCAUUGGUCGGAGUUAUUAGUGUGAUUGUCUUAACCUGUAUUUUGGGAAAGUGUUCACAUUUGAA
Molecule: long non-coding RNA, 969 nt
Filed under: Ursus maritimus (polar bear)
Lineage: Eukaryota; Metazoa; Chordata; Mammalia; Carnivora; Ursidae
Description: lncRNA (ENSUMAG00000009712.1)
Rfam family: Nuclear enriched abundant transcript 1 conserved region 3 (bases 348-507)
Source: RNAcentral